AGCUCCAAUAGCGUAUAUUAAAGUUGUUGUGGUUAAAAAGCUCGUAGUUGGAUCUCGGCGGUCUGAGGGCGGUUCGCUUGAUUGAGUGCUACUGCUCUAUAGGCCGUGGUUUUGCCAGAGGUCUCGGGGUGCUCUUAACCGAGUGUCCUGCGAUGCUGGCAGGUUUACUUUGAAAAAAUUAGAGUGCUCAAAGCAGGCUUUUACGCCUGAAUAUUCGUGCAUGGAAUAAUAGAAUAGGAAGUCGUUUCUAUUUUGUUGGUUUUCGGAAAUCGACUUAAUGAUUAAUAGGGACAAUUGGGGGCAUUCGUAUUAACGCGUCAGAGGUGGAAUUCUUGGAUUGCGUUACGACGAACUACUGCGAAAGCAUUUGCCAAAGAUGUUUUCA
This 385-nucleotide ribosomal RNA is filed under the name marine copepod environmental sample. RNAcentral's name for it is "SSU rRNA". It matches the Rfam family "Eukaryotic small subunit ribosomal RNA", at positions 587 to 972 of the family's 1831-position model. Lineage: Eukaryota; Metazoa; Arthropoda; Copepoda. The record is from RNAcentral.